This 345-nucleotide ribosomal RNA is filed under the name uncultured bacterium. RNAcentral describes it as "bacterial SSU rRNA". It matches the Rfam family "Bacterial small subunit ribosomal RNA", at positions 8 to 334 of the family's 1533-position model. The record is from RNAcentral.
AGGGUUUGAUUAUGGCUCAGGACGAACGCUGGCGGCGUGCCUAACACAUGCAAGUCGAACGGAGUUACUUUGAAUGAUUUCUUCGGAAUGAAUUUGAUUUAACUUAGUGGCGGACGGGCGAGUAACGCGUGAAUAACCUGCCCAUAAGAGCGGGAUAAUCCAUGGAAACGUGGACUAAUACCGCAUAUUGAAUUUGAACCGCAUGAUUUAAAUUUGAAAGAUUUAUCGCUUAUGGAUGGAUUCGCGUCAGAUUAGCUUGUUGGUGAGGUAACGGCUCACCAAGGCGACGAUCUGUAGCCGAACUGAGAGGUUGAUCGGCCGCAUUGGGACUGAGACACGGCCCAG